GUAACAAGGUUUCCGUAGGUGAACCUGCGGAAGGAUCAUUACCGAGUGAGGGCCCUCUGGGUCCAACCUCCCACCCGUGUUUAUUUUACCUUGUUGCUUCGGCGGGCCCGCCUUAACUGGCCGCCGGGGGGCUUACGCCCCCGGGCCCGCGCCCGCCGAAGACACCCUCGAACUCUGUCUGAAGAUUGUAGUCUGAGUGAAAAUAUAAAUUAUUUAAAACUUUCAACAACGGAUCUCUUGGUUCCGGCAUCGAUGAAGAACGCAGCGAAAUGCGAUACGUAAUGUGAAUUGCAAAUUCAGUGAAUCAUCGAGUCUUUGAACGCACAUUGCGCCCCCUGGUAUUCCGGGGGGCAUGCCUGUCCGAGCGUCAUUUCUGCCCUCAAGCACGGCUUGUGUGUUGGGCCCCGUCCUCCGAUCCCGGGGGACGGGCCCGAAAGGCAGCGGCGGCACCGCGUCCGGUCCUCGAGCGUAUGGGGCUUUGUCACCCGCUCUGUAGGCCCGGCCGGCGCUUGCCGAUCAACCCAAAUUUUUAUCCAGGUUGACCUCGGAUCAGGUAGGGAUACCCGCUGAACUUAAGCAUAUC
RNAcentral lists this unclassified non-coding RNA (583 nucleotides) under Penicillium rubens. RNAcentral's name for it is "sequence contains 18S rRNA gene, ITS1, 5.8S rRNA gene, ITS2, 28S rRNA gene". The stretch from base 218 to 370 matches the Rfam family "5.8S ribosomal RNA". Lineage: Eukaryota; Fungi; Ascomycota; Eurotiomycetes; Eurotiales; Aspergillaceae. The record is from RNAcentral.